AGCUCCAAUAGCGUAUAUUAAAGUUGUUGCGGUUAAAAAGCUCGUAGUUGGAUUUCUGCGAGGGGCAGCCGGUCCGCUCUAUGAGCGUGUAUCUGGAUUGACCUUUGCAUCCUCUCGAAAAACGUUUCUGCGCUUGAUUGCGUGGUGCGGGGUUCGGGACUUUUACUUUGAGGAAAUUAGAGUGUUCACGGCAGGCGAUCGCCUUGAAUAUAUUAGCAUGGAAUAAUAAUAUAGGAUCUUGGUUCUAUUUUGUUGGUUUCUAGGACUAAGAUAAUGAUUAAUAGGGACAAUUGGGGGCAUUCGUAUUAACACGUCAGAGGUGGAAUUCUUGGAUUGUGUUACGACGAACUACUGCGAAAGCAUUUGCCAAGGAUGUUUUCA
This 381-nucleotide ribosomal RNA is filed under the name uncultured eukaryote. RNAcentral describes it as "SSU rRNA". It matches the Rfam family "Eukaryotic small subunit ribosomal RNA", at positions 587 to 972 of the family's 1831-position model. The record is from RNAcentral.